UAACCUGCUAAAUAGCCCGGCCGUCUUUGGAUGGUCGCUGGCUUCUUAGAGGGACUAUCGGCGUUUAGCCGAUGGAAGUUUGAGGCAAUAACAGGUCUGUGAUGCCCUUAGAUGUUCUGGGCCGCACGCGCGCUACACUGACCGAACCAGCGAGUUUAUCACCUUGGCCGGAAGGCCUGGGUAAUCUUGUGAAACUCGGUCGUGAUGGGGAUAGAGCAUUGCAAUUAUUGCUCUUCAACGAGGAAUACCUAGUAAGCGUGAGUCAUCAGCUCGCGUUGAAUUCGUCCCUGCCCUUUGUACACACCGCCCGUCGCU
This 315-nucleotide ribosomal RNA is filed under the name uncultured fungus. RNAcentral describes it as "SSU rRNA". It matches the Rfam family "Eukaryotic small subunit ribosomal RNA", at positions 1344 to 1680 of the family's 1831-position model. The record is from RNAcentral. Lineage: Eukaryota; Fungi.